CAAACUUUGCAGCCUCCGGCUUAGAUCAAGUGUAGUAUCUGUUCUUCUCAAGAGUAAUUUCUGAGACGGUCUAAAAUGGCCGAUCUGUUGAUUACCAACACUUUUUGCGUCUCGGGGUGGCGUCCUCUGGGCUUGCCCAUGAUCCAUCCCACUGUGACCUCCCUACCACACUGCUUGGGAGUGUUGCGAACUUCG
This 195-nucleotide small nuclear RNA is filed under the name Pyricularia oryzae 70-15. RNAcentral's name for it is "Magnaporthe oryzae 70-15 U2 spliceosomal RNA". It matches the Rfam family "U2 spliceosomal RNA". Rfam says of the family: U2 is a small nuclear RNA (snRNA) component of the spliceosome (involved in pre-mRNA splicing). Lineage: Eukaryota; Fungi; Ascomycota; Sordariomycetes; Magnaporthales; Pyriculariaceae. The record is from Rfam by way of RNAcentral.